Molecule: ribosomal RNA, 441 nt
Filed under: uncultured bacterium
Lineage: Bacteria
Description: partial 16S ribosomal RNA
Rfam family: Bacterial small subunit ribosomal RNA
Source: RNAcentral
GAUGAACGCUGGCGGCGUGCCUAAUACAUGCAAGUCGAACGGGGAGUAGCAAUACUCUUAGUGGCGAACGGGUGAGUAACGCGUUGGUACCUGCCCCGAAGCGGGGGAUAACGGACCGAAAGGUCCGCUAAUACCCCAUGUGCUCGGUAACGAGUAAAGGUGAACACCACUUUGGGAGGGGCCUGCGUCCCAUCAGCUAGUUGGUAAGGUAACGGCUUACCAAGGCGAUGACGGGUAGGGGACCUGAGAGGGUGGCCCCCCACAAUGGAACUGAAACACGGUCCAUACACCUACGGGUGGCAGCAGUAGGGAAUAUUGGUAAUGGGCGCAAGCCUGAACCAGCAACGCCGCGUGUGCGAUGACGGCCUUCGGGUUGUAAAGCACUUUUGACUGGGACGAGGAAGGACGGUACCGGUCGAAUCAGCCUCGGCUAACUACGUG